RNAcentral lists this unclassified non-coding RNA (151 nucleotides) under soil metagenome. RNAcentral's name for it is "partial internal transcribed spacer 1". The record is from RNAcentral.
CCGAGUUUACAACUCCCAAACCCCUGUGAACAUACCUAUUACGUUUGCCUCGGCGGAUCAGCCCCGCGCCCCGUAAAACGGGACGGUCCGCCCGAGGACCCCUAAACUCUGUUUUUAGUGGAACUUCUGAGUAAAACAAACAAAUAAAUCA